RNAcentral lists this transfer RNA (67 nucleotides) under Pontibacter aquaedesilientis. RNAcentral's name for it is "tRNA-Pro". It matches the Rfam family "tRNA", at positions 9 to 71 of the family's 71-position model. From Rfam's summary of the family: Transfer RNA (tRNA) molecules are approximately 80 nucleotides in length. Their secondary structure includes four short double-helical elements and three loops (D, anti-codon, and T loops). The record is from RNAcentral. Lineage: Bacteria; Pseudomonadati; Bacteroidota; Cytophagia; Cytophagales; Hymenobacteraceae.
AGCUCAGCUGGCUAGAGCGUCCCGAAGGCUUUCGGGAAGGUCAUCGGUUCGACUCCGAUAUUCUCCA